Long non-coding RNA from Acromyrmex echinatior (Panamanian leafcutter ant), 341 nucleotides. The record is from RefSeq and is a predicted model, not a curated record. Lineage: Eukaryota; Metazoa; Arthropoda; Insecta; Hymenoptera; Formicidae.
CCCACUUCUAUGGAGGACGCUUUGAAUUCUCUCCUAUUAAUUUCAACCGAUUGAAGAGUGACUCAUUAUCAAGUGCACCGCCAACUUAAGUUACAACAUAGAAAAUAACAUCAUGUUUACUACCAUGAUUCUCGGAACGAAAUAUUUCCAUGACCUAUACGAGUCGACAUCUUUGUUCUCCGUGUGAAGGUCCAGGUGACUGGAAAAUACCUUAUACCUUAUGAGUAAAUUACUGAUAAAUUAAUUGCAUAUUUUACAACAGCAGACAAGAAAUUUCCAUAAUGAUAAUAUACUCUAUAAACCAAGUUUGUUUAAUAAAAAACUUAUAUGUUACAGCAAAA